UAUGUGAUCGUCUCUCGCAUAUCAAUAAGCGGAGGAAAAGAAACUAACAAGGAUUCCCCUAGUAACGGCGAGUGAAGCGGGAAGAGCUCAAAUUUGAAAUCUUAAAGGGUUUCCCUUUACGAAUUGUAGUUUAAAGAAGUGUUUUCUGUUGAGGUUUUGGUAAAAGUUCUUUGGAAUAGGACAUCAUAGAGGGUGAGAAUCCCGUAUUUGACCUUUACUUUCAACUUUGUGAUACACUUUCAAAGAGUCGGAUUGUUUGGGAAUGCAGUCCAAAAUGGGUGGUAAAUUUCAUCUAAAGCUAAAUAUUGGCGAGAGACCGAUAGCAAACAAGUACCGUGAGGGAAAGAUGAAAAGAACUUUGAAAAGAGAGUUAAACAGUACGUGAAAUUGUCAAAAGGGAAGCGUUUGACACCAGUGUUGUUUUUCUGAAAAUCAAUUAAAGAACUGUUUAUGCUAAGUUGUUUAGACUUUAUCAGCUAACUGUUUAGUUUUGAGCUUUUCUUUAAUGCACUUUUCAGUUAGCAAGUCAACAUCAAUUUCUUUUGCUGUAAAAAAGCUUGAGGAAGGUGGCUUGAGAUUCGUCUUAAGUGUUUAUAGCCUCUUGCCUAUGCAGUCGGAGAGAUUGAGGUCUGCAGCGUAGAUCCUUCGGGGUUAAAUGCAUUUGUGCUAAGUUAUAGCAUUUUAUAGACAACUUGUUGACUAUGAUUUGUCUUGUAGCUUACUCGCUUAUGUUAUUUUACCUACGCUUAGGAUGUUGAAGUCAUCGUAUCGCGC
RNAcentral lists this ribosomal RNA (774 nucleotides) under uncultured Neocallimastigales. Its description in RNAcentral is "partial large subunit ribosomal RNA". It matches the Rfam family "Eukaryotic large subunit ribosomal RNA", at positions 24 to 645 of the family's 3401-position model. The record is from RNAcentral. Lineage: Eukaryota; Fungi; Neocallimastigomycota; Neocallimastigomycetes; Neocallimastigales.